Molecule: ribosomal RNA, 251 nt
Filed under: uncultured bacterium
Lineage: Bacteria
Description: partial 16S ribosomal RNA
Rfam family: Bacterial small subunit ribosomal RNA
Source: RNAcentral
CGAAGGGCUAGCGUUGCUCGGAAUUACUGGGCGUAAAGGGCGCGUAGGCGGAUCGUUAAGUCAGAGGUGAAAUCCCAGGGCUCAACCCUGGAACUGCCUUUGAUACUGGCGAUCUUGAGUAUGAGAGAGGUAUGUGGAACUCCGAGUGUAGAGGUGAAAUUCGUAGAUAUUCGGAAGAACACCAGUGGCGAAGGCGACAUACUGGCCCAUUACUGACGCUGAGGCGCGAAAGCGUGGGAGCAAACAGGAUU